Hippocampus zosterae (dwarf seahorse) is the source of this 762-nucleotide long non-coding RNA. RefSeq lists it as uncharacterized. The transcript is spliced from 5 exons. The record is from RefSeq and is a predicted model, not a curated record. NCBI's taxonomy places the organism in Eukaryota, Metazoa, Chordata, Actinopteri, Syngnathiformes, Syngnathidae.
CAAAAUAAGUGCUGCCAUAAUAUUGUGCUUGCUUGUCUGGCUGACUUCUUCUCACUUUCCAUUGUAGAUGUUUACUGGUGGUGAUAAUCUCACAAAGAAGAACCAGACUGAGCCCUGAAUCUGAGGCUGCUCCUUUUAUCUGGAGUCAAUAAGCCUUGUUUGAAAGCCCAGUGGAUCAAUGAUUAUAAAGACACCAAGUGAAAGGUACCUGAUUGAACCCUCUGGAGACCAAGAAUGGAGUGAGAGAUCCACUUCAUCCUUACAACAGACACCAAGUGACCUGACUGAACCCUCUGGAGACCAUGAAUGGAGUGAUAGAUCCACUUCAUUCUUACAACAGACAUCAAGUGACAGGUACCUGACUGAACCCUCUGGAAACCAAGAAUGGAGUGAGAGAUCCACUUCAUCCUUACAACAGGUUACUACUUCUUAUCAUGAUAUACUAGGUUUGAGUUUUCAGCUUUCUUUGACAAACCAAGGAGAAGUUAUAAAUCAGAAACAUGGACUCUCCAUGAUUUCAGUCGUCAUGUCCUCAUAUUUCUUUAGACCUGAAAAACCUGAGUGUGUUUCAGGUGACAUGACUUUUGUCUUAACUUAACUCUGGAGAGCCUGUGUUCGAAUGUCCCCAUAUUGCUGUUACUCAGAGCUGAACAGUGUUAACUUUCUAUAGUGUGGUACAUUAUUCCCAAAUUCUCCUGUGAGCAAUGUUCAAUGAGAAAUAAUGUUUUUUUCAUUUCUUAACUGGUCAGAAUGAAGAAUGCU